Molecule: ribosomal RNA, 802 nt
Filed under: uncultured bacterium
Lineage: Bacteria
Description: bacterial SSU rRNA
Rfam family: Bacterial small subunit ribosomal RNA
Source: RNAcentral
AGAGUUUGAUCAUGGCUCAGAUUGAACGCUGGCGGCAGGCUUAACACAUGCAAGUCGAGCGGGGAAAGGUAGCUUGCUACCUUACCUAGCGGCGGACAGGUGAGUAAUGCUUAGGAAUCUGCCUAUUAGUGGGGGACAACAUUUCGAAAGGAAUGCUAAUACCGCAUACGCCCUACGGGGGAAAGCAGGGGACCUUCGGGCCUUGCGCUAAUAGAUGAGCCUAAGUCGGAUUAGCUAGUUGGUGGGGUAAAGGCCUACCAAGGCGACGAUCUGUAGCGGGUCUGAGAGGAUGAUCCGCCACACUGGGACUGAGACACGGCCCAGACUCCUACGGGAGGCAGCAGUGGGGAAUAUUGGACAAUGGGGGGAACCCUGAUCCAGCCAUGCCGCGUGUGUGAAGAAGGCCUUUUGGUUGUAAAGCACUUUAAGCGAGGAGGAGGCUCCCAGUAUUAAUACUACUGGAGAGUGGACGUUACUCGCAGAAUAAGCACCGGCUAACUCUGUGCCAGCAGCCGCGGUAAUACAGAGGGUGCAAGCGUUAAUCGGAUUUACUGGGCGUAAAGCGUGCGUAGGUGGCCAAUUAAGUCAAAUGUGAAAUCCCCGAGCUUAACUUGGGAAUUGCAUUCGAUACUGGUUGGCUAGAGUAUGGGAGAGGAUGGUAGAAUUCCAGUGUAGCGGUGAAAUGCGUAGAGAUCUGGAGGAAUACCGAUGGCGAAGCAGCCAUCUGGGCCUAAUACUGACACUGAGGUACGAAAGCAUGGGGAGCAAACAGGAUUAGAUACCCUGGUAGUCCAUGCCGUAA